UUUGUGAAGCUUUCUGAGAUUUUGUGUGUUUCUGUAGUGUUUCAUGCUCAUUACACAAACACACAAAAUCACACCAAGCUGAAUGUGACAUUUUGUGCUUUUGAUACUUGGUUUUGUGAGUUUUCUGUGACUGAGUUUCCUGCUUGUUGUUACAGGGGACAUUUUGUGUGCUUUUACAUUGUGUGAGAGUUGCACAAUGGCAUUGUGUUUUUGUUAGGUGUUAAAGUUGCUUUUUGAGCUCUUUGUGGCUCUGUGAAUUUGCUGCUUGUGACAGGGACCAUUUUGUGUGCUUUUGCAAUUCUGCUUGGGCAGAGAGUUGGACUAGAUGACCUCCAAGGUCCCUUCCAACUCUGUUAUGUCUCUUAAGUCUGUUGCAGGGGCCAGUUUCUGUGAGUACAGCUGUUUUGGCAUUGUGUGUGAGUUGCACAAUGUUGUAUUGUGAGUGUGUUUUACAGUGUUGUGAGUCAGUUGUGUUGUUUUUGUAUAAAGUUUGUAUAAAGUUGCUUUCUGAGCUCUUUGUGGCUCUAUGAGUUUCCUGCUUGUGGCAGGGGCUCUUUUGUGUGAGGUGUAGCUGCUUCUGCAUUGUGUUGCUUUUGUAUUGUUUUGGGGUUAAAACCAGUUUCUUUGUUUUUGUUUUUUGUUUGCUUUUGUAUUGCUCCCAUCACUGAUCCUCAGCUAACAAAGUGUAAACCAAUUAUAUUUUUCCAAAAUAUUUUUUCAUGUGCCUGCUGAAACAUCCAAGAAGUCUUUGACAAACCAGAGACAGGUGGCUGUGUGCUUCCUAGAAACCCAUCGCUCAGCCUAUGAUCCCAGAAUCAAGAUCAAGAAAAAUGGAAGUGAGGAAAGUGCCAAUGAGAAAUCGAUAUGGAAACAUCUUAAAGUGAAAGAUGACUAACACUUUUAUAUAAGUAUUUGUGUACCUCUAUUAUUGUUUUGUAUACUUCUUUUAUUAUUAUUUAAGUAUAAAUUUGUAUAUUGUGGUAUAUCUUCUUUUUGUAGGUCAUUAUUAUCAUUGGUGCAUCGAAGAGAACACUUUUAUUGCUCCUAUGUAGGUAUGUUUACAUAAAUAUUCUUCAUUAUUCUUAUUUAAGUAUUAAAUUUUCUUUUUGUAGGUGAAAGGGAAAAGAAGGGAUGUCGACUUGGCCAUGCCUACCUGGUCACAUGCCCACCAAGCCACACCCACCAAGCCAUGCCCACAGAACCGGUAGGGAAAUUUUUUAGAUUUUACUACUGCGGAAAUCUUUAGCUGUUGCCGAAAUGAUGCUGAUGUGAAUAUCAGAUGAGAUUUUCUGGGGAUAAAUUUUAUAAAUGAAUGCAACAUUGCAACAAAAAAAAAACCUCUACUGGGAGAGAAAAAUAUAAGACACAAAGUUGAAUUUCAGUGUUUUUAGAUAAUGUUCAACUGUGUCCAAUACAAUCAAAUACUUCUCUAUUUAUUGCCUGAUUAUCAGUCAUGUGCAAUUUAAGACAUGAACAAUGUGCUGCAACUAUUUAGCAAGGGAAACAGGAUAUUUAGUCCUUCAUUAUGUACUUAAUCCUGACUGCUUGUUAAUUAUUGUUCAUUUGUUUCUUCAGCCAGAAUUACUAUGAAAUAAAGUACACCACUCCACAAUAUUAAUCAUAGAACAUAGAAUAAAAGGGUUGGAAGGGACCUUGAAGGUCUUUUAGUUCAACCUCUUGAUUGAGAAAGAGACCCUAUGCCGGUAAUGGUUAACCUUUUCAGCACUGAGUGGCCAUGCAUGCAUGAUUACUGGAGCGCCAGAGCACUAGAUCCCGGAAAAGAGCAGCUGGCUGGUGUGCAUGUGCACAGUGACAAGCUGCUCUUCUGGCUUCCGUUGCAUGCCUGUGCACUGGACAGCUGAUCCAGCAUGCAUGCGCACCAGACAGCUGCUCUCUUCUGGAUUCUGGCCCAUGCAUGCGCACCAGUCAGUUUGUCUUUGUGAGAACACCAGCCAUUUGGAGCUCAUGUGUGCAAUAGAACCUGGAAGAGCAAUUGGCGAUGGCUUGUGUGCCAUAGGUUUGCCAUCAUGGCCCUAUACCAUUCCAGACAAAUGGCUCUUGAGUCUCAUACUUUGAACAUUACUGUAUACCACCUGAGUCUUUUGACUGAUGUUGCAUUUGUCUUUUAUGUUUCCUGUUUUAUAUCUCAGUUCCCUUUCCUUCACACUAAUCCUUAUGUAUUGUUUCAUUGCUUGUCUUGAGGUUCAUGCUUGGGAUUAACUCCUAAAGACUAGUCUCCCUCCUCUUCCAGUUUUAGUUUAAAGUCCUUUGGAUAAGACUAGCUAGUUAUUUUCCAACCAUGUUCUUGACAGUUCUUAUGAUAUGUUGCCCAUCCCUUGCCAGAAACUCUUCAUAUAGAUCUAGGAAUUCAAAGGACUCUUGAGUUCAAUAUCCCUUAAGUCAGUGAUUUACUUCUAAAAUCCCUGUUUCCUCAUUGGAUGUUGAUUCCAACAGAAGAACAAUAUCCAAUUCUUGGCUCCUAUCUCUUUAGCUUGCAUGCCAAGAUGCUCAUAGCCUCCUGAUAUUGCUUUUAGGCUUUUUGUCAUAUUAUCCCUCCUCAUAUAACACAGGGGAAAAUGAUAACAAUCUGUCAAUUUAAUAAUUUUAGUAAGUCUGGUAAUCAAAAUAAGUCAUAUCUUUGAUGUUUGUGCCUGGGUAGGAGCAUAGCUCUCUUGACAGAUUGUCCAGUUUACAAUCUGAUGGUUCCAGUUCUCUAAGUAAUAAGUAUCCUUUUACCAACACACCCUUUUUUUUCUAGGGGAAGUCUGGUCUACUUUUCUUCCUAUCACUGGUAUACUUAAUGCUGUCCCUUCUCCAGGUGUCAGCACGCUUUCUUUCAGGAGGAAGAUAUGAAAUUGAUAGCUCAGCUACAGCAGAGCAGGACUGGAUUGGACUGGCCUGGACCAUUGGUCUAUCUCUAACAGCCAUUUAUUUUCUGGUGUUGGACACUUCCUUCCUUGGCCAUAUUGCUUAGACUGCAGAAAAAACAUCUGGCUGUUUAAUAUUCAACCAGCACUACGGAAAAGACCAUCAAACAGGAGGAGGAGGAGCUUGGGUGGACGGUCUUAUGCUGGAUCCAAUUACUGGUUUCAACAAGCUACAAUGAAAUACUGGAUCUCAACUCUACUAGAUCCAAACAGAGAUGGAAAGAGAGCAGUCAUGUAUCUUAAUUAUGUAACAUUAUUGUGUAAAACAAUUUAUUUUGGAAUUACCGUUGUGUUGUAAAAUUUUAUCUUUUAAAAAUUAUAUUAAUUUGCCACCCUUUUCCCAAAACAUUUUGGAUCUUAAAGCAUGAGUUGUAAGAACUUUGUCCCCAGUUUUUUAAGGAGAAUUAAGGAGAAACUUUCUAACAGUGAGGACAAUUAAUUGGUGAGGCAUUCUGCCUUCAGAAGUUGUGGG
Long non-coding RNA from Thamnophis elegans (Western terrestrial garter snake), 3399 nucleotides. RefSeq lists it as uncharacterized. The transcript is spliced from 4 exons. The record is from RefSeq and is a predicted model, not a curated record. NCBI's taxonomy places the organism in Eukaryota, Metazoa, Chordata, Lepidosauria, Squamata, Natricidae.